RNAcentral lists this ribosomal RNA (289 nucleotides) under Enterococcus faecium. Its description in RNAcentral is "partial 23S ribosomal RNA". It matches the Rfam family "Bacterial large subunit ribosomal RNA", at positions 2639 to 2925 of the family's 2925-position model. Lineage: Bacteria; Bacillati; Bacillota; Bacilli; Lactobacillales; Enterococcaceae. The record is from RNAcentral.
UAUCCGUCGCGGGCGUUGGAAAUUUGAGAGGAGCUGUCCUUAGUACGAGAGGACCGGGAUGGACUUACCGCUGGUGUACCAGUUGUUCUGCCAAGGGCAUUGCUGGGUAGCUAUGUAGGGAAGGGAUAAACGCUGAAAGCAUCUAAGUGUGAAGCCCACCUCAAGAUGAGAUUUCCCAUUUCUUUAAGAAAGUAAGAUCCCUGAGAGAUGAUCAGGUAGAUAGGUCAGGAGUGGAAGUACAGUGAUGUAUGGAGCGGACUGAUACUAAUCGAUCGAGGACUUAACCAAU